RNAcentral lists this unclassified non-coding RNA (140 nucleotides) under Oryza sativa (Asian cultivated rice). Its description in RNAcentral is "partial microRNA MIR425h precursor". The record is from RNAcentral. Lineage: Eukaryota; Viridiplantae; Streptophyta; Magnoliopsida; Poales; Poaceae.
CUGAGGACGUCUCCGUUCGGAGAGAUCAACGUGACCCCUGCACCGGCGCCCUGAAGAGACAGAGAACCGUCGAACUGCAUCACCCAGUGGGCGGUUUGAGGCAGCUGUGAGGGGUCCGUGCUGGCCUCGGGUAUUGAGAC